GACGAACGCUGGCGGCGUGCCUAAUACAUGCAAGUCGAACGCAGUGGGGACGGGUGAGUAACACGUGGGUAACCUCCCAUCAGAGGGGAUAACACUUGGAAACAGGUGCUAAACCGAUACUGAUGGAUGGACCCGCGGGGCAUUAGCUAGUUGGUGAGGUAACGGCUCACCAAGGCCACGAUGCAUAGCCGACCGGGGAGGGGUAUCGGCCACACUGGGACUGAGACAUGGCCCAGACUCCGACGGGAGGCAGCAGUAGGGAAUCUUCGGCAAUGGACGAAAGCCUGAGCGAGCAACGCCGCGUGAGUGAGGAAGGUUUUCGGAUCGUAAAACUCUGUUGUUAGAUAAGCGGUAUCUAACCAGAAAGCCACGGCUAACUACGUGCCAGCAGCCGCGGUAAUUC
Molecule: ribosomal RNA, 403 nt
Filed under: uncultured bacterium
Lineage: Bacteria
Description: partial 16S ribosomal RNA
Rfam family: Bacterial small subunit ribosomal RNA
Source: RNAcentral